GUGCGGCAUCCUGAGAUACAGUAUUCUAGAUAUAAUUGUGACAGAGAUAAGAACAGCAAAUCAAGUACAUCAAUUAAAAGUAGCAUGACAACUGGUAACAUCCUAUCAUUCAGCAAUACAUCAUCAUCCAUUAAGAAUCACUCAUGGAAAGGAUUCCUUCAUUAACAUGAACACUCACUUUGAUCACUUUUUCAUACUGCAUAGCAAAAUUAAUUGUAAUGUCUAGAGAGUUUUACUGCAUCAAAUUAGACGCUCAAUUACAUGUA
Long non-coding RNA from Amphimedon queenslandica, 266 nucleotides. RefSeq lists it as uncharacterized. The record is from RefSeq and is a predicted model, not a curated record. Lineage: Eukaryota; Metazoa; Porifera; Demospongiae; Haplosclerida; Niphatidae. The transcript has 2 exons.